RNAcentral lists this ribosomal RNA (229 nucleotides) under uncultured bacterium. RNAcentral's name for it is "partial 16S ribosomal RNA". It matches the Rfam family "Bacterial small subunit ribosomal RNA", at positions 88 to 334 of the family's 1533-position model. The record is from RNAcentral.
UACGUCAGCGGCAGACGGGUGAGUAACGCGUGGGAACAUACCUUUUGGUUCGGAACAACACAGGGAAACUUGUGCUAAUACCGGAUAAGCCCUUACGGGGAAAGAUUUAUCGCCGAAAGAUUGGCCCGCGUCUGAUUAGCUAGUUGGUGAGGUAACGGCUCACCAAGGCGACGAUCAGUAGCUGGUCUGAGAGGAUGAUCAGCCACAUUGGGACUGGGACACGGCCCAA